UUGGUGACCAGCGGAGGGAUCAUUACCGAGUUUACAACUCCCAAACCCAAUGUGAACGUUACCAAACUGUUGCCUCGGCGGGAUCUCUGCCCCGGGUGCGUCGCAGCCCCGGACCAAGGCGCCCGCCGGAGGACCAACCAAAACUCUUUUUGUAUACCCCCUCGCGGGUUUUUUUUAUAAUCUGAGCCUUCUCGGCGCCUCUCGUAGGCGUUUCGAAAAUGAAUCAAAACUUUCAACAACGGAUCUCUUGGUUCUGGCAUCGAUGAAGAACGCAGCGAAAUGCGAUAAGUAAUGUGAAUUGCAGAAUUCAGUGAAUCAUCGAAUCUUUGAACGCACAUUGCGCCCGCCAGUAUUCUGGCGGGCAUGCCUGUCCGAGCGUCAUUUCAACCCUCGAACCCCUCCGGGGGGUCGGCGUUGGGGAUCGGCCCUCCCUUAGCGGGUGGCCGUCUCCGAAAUACAGUGGCGGUCUCGCCGCAGCCUCUCCUGCGCAGUAGUUUGCACACUCGCAUCGGGAGCGCGGCGCGUCCACAGCCGUUAAACACCCAACUUCUGAAAUGUUGACCUCGGAUCAGGUAGGAAUACCCGCUGAACUUAAGCAUAUCAA
RNAcentral lists this ribosomal RNA (604 nucleotides) under Trichoderma harzianum. RNAcentral's name for it is "eukaryotic LSU rRNA". The stretch from base 228 to 381 matches the Rfam family "5.8S ribosomal RNA". Lineage: Eukaryota; Fungi; Ascomycota; Sordariomycetes; Hypocreales; Hypocreaceae. The record is from RNAcentral.